RNAcentral lists this ribosomal RNA (1015 nucleotides) under Tremateia chiangraiensis. RNAcentral's name for it is "SSU rRNA". It matches the Rfam family "Eukaryotic small subunit ribosomal RNA", at positions 70 to 1094 of the family's 1831-position model. The record is from RNAcentral. Lineage: Eukaryota; Fungi; Ascomycota; Dothideomycetes; Pleosporales; Didymosphaeriaceae.
CAACUAUACUGUGAAACUGCGAAUGGCUCAUUAAAUCAGUUAUCGUUUAUUUGAUAGUAACCUACUACAUGGAAUACCUGUGGAAAAUCUAGAGCUAAUACAUGCGCCAGCCUCGACUCCGGAAGAGGUGUGUUUAUUAGAUAAAAAGCCAACGCCCUUCGGGGCUCCUUGGUGAUUCAUGAUAAUCUUUCUGAUCGCUAGGCCAUGCGCCCGCGACGGUUCAUUCAAAUUUCUGCCCUAUCAACUUUCGAUGGUAAGGUAUUGGCUUACCAUGGUUUCAACGGGUAACGGGGAAUUAGGGUUCGAUUCCGGAGAGGGAGCCUGAGAAACGGCUACCACAUCCAAGGAAGGCAGCAGGCGCGCAAAUUACCCAAUGUCGACUCGACGAGGUAGUGACAAUACAUACUGAUACAGGGCUCUUUUGGGUCUUGUAAUUGGAAUGAGUACAAUUUAAACCUCUUAACGAGGAACAAUUAGAGGGCAAGUCUGGUGCCAGCAGCCGCGGUAAUUCCAGCUCUAAUAGCGUAUAUAAAAGUUGUUGCAGUUAAAAAGCUCGUAGUUGAACCUUUGGCCUGGUGGGCGCGUCCGCCUCACCGCGUGCACGCGACCCGCCGGGCCUUUUCUUCUGGAGAACCGCAUGCCCUUCGCUGGGUGUGUUGGGGACCAGGACUUUUACUUUGAAAAAAUUAGAGUGUUCAAAGCAGGCCUUUGCUCGAAUACGUUAGCAUGGAAUAAUGGAAUAAGGACGUGCGGUCCUAUUUUGUUGGUUUCUAGGACCGCCGUAAUGAUUAAUAGGGACAGUCGGGGGCAUCAGUAUUCAAUUGUCAGAGGUGAAAUUCUUGGAUUUAUUGAAGACUAACUACUGCGAAAGCAUUUGCCAAGGAUGUUUUCAUUAAUCAGUGAACGAAAGUUAGGGGAUCGAAGACGAUCAGAUACCGUCGUAGUCUUAACCAUAAACGAUGCCGGCUAGGGAUCGGACGGUGUUUCUAUUGUGACCCGUUCGGCACCUUACGCA